AUGGAGGGCGGUGGGGAUGCGCUGCCCGCGGACCUGCGGGAGCUGGCGGGCAAGGUGGGCCGCCGCCCGCCCGCCGGGCUGCUGAGGGGGCUCCGCGCCGAGCCCGUCCCCACCCCGCCGUCCCCGCUGCCGGCUCCGGUUCGCGGCGCCCGUCCGCCGAUCGCCGAUCGCCUCCGUGCGCUCCGCUUGGAGCUGGCAUACUUACGCGCAGCGGACGUGAAGAUCCUACAGCAGCUGGUGGCAGUCAACGAGGGCAUCGAGGCGGUGAAAUGGCUGCUGGAGGAGAAGAGCACACUGACCAGCCGCUGCAGCAGCCUGGCCAGCAGCCAGUACAGCCUGGCGGGCAGCCAGACGGCCUCGCGGCGGGGCAGCUGGGACAGCCUGCAGGAUCCCCCCGACAAGCUGGACAGCAUCUCCAUCGGCAGCUAUCUGGACACGUUGGCUGACGACAUGGAUGAGUAUUCCCAAAAUGCUGGCGAGCUCCCCAGAGCGCUGGGAAGGGCUGAGCAGGACUGGGGCAGGCUGGACCCCGAGAGGGGUUUCACGAAGCAGGAGAAGGGCAGAGCAGAGCAUGAGUGGCCCCACAAAGACCUCAGCCCAAAUCGGAGCUGCCCAGACCUGCAGCGCUUUGCUAAGGAGCCCCAGGUGGCCAAUGGCUACUCGGGCAAAGAGCCCAAAUUGGGGCCUGGAGAAAAGCUGGAGAAGGGGAAUGUGGGUGGGAAGGCUCGGAAAGCUGAGGCCAGCUUGGAGAACUGCAAACUCAACAGCGAACUGCACCUGGAGUACGAUGCCCACUGGCUCUGGCUGCAGUCCCAGGACGACGUGACGUUCUUGUAGCCCCUGGCUCUGUGUUUCCCACAUCGCCCUCUCUGCUUCAUUGGGCUCUGCUCGGGAUUGUGGUGUGGUUGGGAAUGGGAGCCACUCCUACACGUCCCAUUUGGUGGCACCAGCAGUGUGAGCCAUGGGGCAGGGCCAUGGGCUGGGCAUCCCAACUCAGCACUUCCAUUGUAUUUUUCCAAGCAGUGCCCACCAAGGGUAUAUGGAGCCGGGAGGAGCUGGAGCUUGGUUGGUUGUCAGUGUGGAAAGCCCUUCCUGGAGUUGAAGGUGGUUGAGAUGCCUCUGUGAAGCCACUCAGUGGGACAUGGAGCUCCAAGUUCCCUGGAUUUGUUCGAGGACUGUCCCACCGUGUGACCAAGCCCUGUGUGGUGGAGUGGCCCAAGACAUAUGGCUCCUCUGCUGGUGUGGCUCUGCAGCCUGGAGAUGUCCUCUCUGCCCUCUGAGCCUUGGCUUCUCACUGUGCCUUUGACUGCCUGCCCCCUAUGUACCCAGCACCACCAGCUUGCAGAGCAUGGCUUGCACUGAGCUGUACACUCACUUGGGCAGCAUCUGUGCCCUUCUUGGGAUGUUGCAGGGAAGGACAGUGGCAUUCCACAGCUUCAAGGAAGGGUUCUUCCACACACACAGCAGAGCUGAAUCCUGGCUCUGCCCCUGUUGGAGUGGUGGAAUUUGGUUCAUCAUCCCCUGGAGCUAGUGGGAAACCAACACUUUCCUGGAGCGGCUGCAGAGUGAGAUGGAUGUGGCCAGGAGGGCGGUUGGGUGCACCCUGGCUGCACAUGCACUUCCCUGCAUUGGUGGGCAAGAACAGGACAGUGUCCAAAUCAUGGGAGGUGGCAUCUGCUGAGGACUUGGGAGCAUCCCAAAUCCACCCCAUCCCAUCUGCCUGCCAGCAGCUCAUGUCUCUAUGCAUGGCCACCAUGUCCCCAAGGCUUCGCUUCUAGCUCUGCAUGAGAGUCCCCAAGGGGAUAGGGCCACGCUGUCGGUGCUUUGUUGAGUCUGCAGAGGUUUAGGGGCAGAAGAGUGCUGGAGCUGCCACCCCUGAGAACGAUAGCCUGUCCAACGCAAGCAUGAGCCAGUGAUCCAGACUCUUUAGCAAGGUAUGUUGUGAUAGGAUAAGAGGAAGUUUUCAACUAAAAGAGAAGAGAUUAAGACUGGAUAUAGGGAAAAAUUUUUUUACAAUAGGACAGAGAAGCACUGGUACAGUUUGCUCAGAGAGGUGGUGGAUGCUCCAUCCCUGGAGGCAUUCAAACUCAGACUGGAUCAGGCUCUGAGCACCUGGUUGAGCUGUGAGUGUUCCUGUUCAUUUCAGGGGAGUUGGACCAGACGACCUUUAAGAGACCUAUCCAACUCAAAUGAUUCUAUGAUCCACAGACCUUGGCAUCUGCUCAACCCUGAGCUCUCAAGGCAGACGCUGAAGACAGCAGGAUGGGGAAUGGUUUCCCCAUGUACUGCUGGGUUUAGGUAAAAAAUAAAACAAAAAGAAGAAAACCCAUAGAAGUAAAAUGUCCAGCCCAUUCUUCAGCCCAGCUUUUCUGUCCCUGUAGGUUGCCCAAAGAAGCUGUGUGUGUUCCAUCCCUGGAGGUGCUCAAGGCCAGGCUGGAUGGGGCCCUGGGCAGCCUGAUCUAUGGAGGACAACUAGCCCACAGCAUGGGGUUGGAGCUGGAUAGGUUUUAAGGUCCCUUUCAAUCCAACCAUUCUAUGUUUCUGUGCCCCCCUGAAUAGAACAUUGCCUCAAAUCCAGACCUUGGAGCUGGAUCUGGAGAAAUGAGAGCUGUUGUAACAGAGCUUUCCUGUGGAAAUGCCCUGGGGUGAUGUCUGUCUGCUGGUGGAUGAUAGUUUAGGGUUAGCAAUGGGUGCAAAGCUGCUGCCCCUGCUGUGUCACAGGGCUGUUGGGUGCUGGGAAUGGGCAGGAAAACAAGCAGAUAAAGCAGCUGAGCAGUGCCAGAAAACGCCCACUGCUGCUACAACAACACUGCCUGCCAAUUCUUCCUCUUAGAUAUACACAGAGAUUAGACCGUAUUAAUGAGGCAGUAAAACACUUUAAUAACUGGCAAGGGGAGCUAUUGGAAAGUCCCCUGGGCUCUCCCCUCCCUGCAUGCCCUGAAAGGGCCUGUCCCUGGAGGGCUGCAGCCAUGUAACAGCUCCUAUCCAACCACCUUUUCCCAGGGAGGGGGAGAGCCCGCUGCCAGGUCCUAUGUUCACCUUCACGCUCCCCAUGCUUGCUGCUACCGUUCUGCUCCUCUGGGGGUUACACACCAGAUAUGUAUGCCACCUUAUUCUCCUCUGUGACCCAUUGCCUAGGAAAUGUCCCACUGCGUUCCUGGGGACACCUUGCUCUGUGCCAUCGUAGGUGUGACACUGCUGCUCACCCCACUGGGGAUCACCCUGUCGCUGUCUUCUGCCCACCAGCCUUGCUCAGGUCUCUCUUGGGGUGAGGAGGAGGAGAAAUCAGAAUCACUCUUCUGAAAAAUCAAUCUGCUUUUAUCGUGUUUGCCCAGCCUGACCUCACAGAACCCCUCUGUUGUUUUUUCCAUGGGGUGUUUAGAGGGAAAAUUACAGUAAAUACUUUGCAAAGAGGCCGUGGGAGAUAAGGACUGGAUUGUCAGCAGGGAAAAAUUGGCACAGCGAGCUCUGCACAGCCACUGGCAGGAUUUCCCAUGCUGCCCUGCUCCUGGGACCUGGAGAAAAGGGCAUCAUCAUGAGCAGCACAAGGUCUCAGAAGCAGACAAAGGUUAAAACACAUUGGGUGCUGCUGACAGGCUCCAGCCUGGGGACUUUUGGCUGGAGAGAAGAACUGAGUUGUUUAUGAGAGAGAUGGCGUGGUAGCUGGGGCUGGGGAGGGACUGAUCUGGGAAAUACCAGGGAAUUUGGGGUGUCAAGUCCCCCUACCCACCCAGAGCCCAUGUCCCUGUCCUGCAUGGCCUCCUCUCAUGGUGAUGUCUGGACAUGUCCCUGUGUGGGCCCACUGAUACACUUCUCCCAGUCACUCUUUAGCACCACCUGGAGCCUCUUGCUGCCCCUUUUCAUGCCCUUCAUCCCCAGGACAUGCCCUUGCAGUGCUGGCAUGAGACAUGCAGUGAGGAGCCCACAGAUGACCACGGCAUAACUGCAGUCCCACAUCCUGCAGUGGCAGUUUGGGACUGGUGGCUGAUUUUGGCCAAAUAAAACACCAAAGCUCAGGUCUUGGUGUUAAAUCCAGGUGUGAAGUGUGGAGCUCCGCCAGCACCUAAAGCUUGUGGGAAAGGGCACGUCUCCCCUGCCAAGAGUUUCCCUCUGAUUACAGGAGGUAUUAGGAAGGAAGGAACCCACCACCCUCAGCCAGUGUGGGUGUCGUGUCUCCCCCUAGGUAUUUUGCUCAUCCUCUGCACAUCUCUCUACUGGGAACCAUGGGGGUUUGAGGCCAUUUUAGGGUUUGGAAACCUCCCACUUGUGAGGCUGUGCUUCAUGCAAGAAGAGCAGUGUGGAUUACGGCUGCUAUAAAAAGUGCUGGCACCUCUCACCCUGCGCCCUAAGGCGCUUAUGGGAGGAAAGCAGGACUUAGGGAGCUAUGCUGAGGCCCUUCCCAGCCUCUAGGGAGGCUGGAUUGAAAAAAGCACUGCUUUUUUGAAGAACUGUUUCCAGCCAAAAGCCUUGCACAGCUCCAGGCUGCCCCAGGUACCCGCAUUCAACACCUGGAGGGGAUCUGUGCUUCACCAAACCUGCACACGUGGGAGCUCAGUGGAUCAGCCUUGGCAUCACCGGGAGCUGCAGAGCUCUGCGCAUCCCUGCUGCCAUCAGUUGCUGAUGAUGUGACGAUUCGUGCUCCGUGCUCUUGCAGUACCGCUUUGCAGCUGUGCCACUCUGCAGGACGAGCCCUUCCUUUUUCUCUCCUGCCACAUUCUGGGGUCUCGGCCACGUCCCACCACCCUGCGACGUUCGCACGGCGAGGGGUUACGGUUGCAGGAGGCCCGGGAAGAGCGGCCACAGGAGGGAGCCGUGUCCCUUCCAGGACAGCGGGUGACAAAGGGACACUGUCGCUGAGAGCCCUGGAGAACCCGAUGCUCAGCCCCGGAUGCUGAAAAGUCAGGGCAAUGAGGAGACCCGCAACUCCCAGGAAAGCUUCUGCCCCCCAGGAACUGAGAUAUUCCCAAAUUUCCCCAGUUCCAUUGCUGCAGCCCUGCUCCAAGGUUCCAAAAUUGCAGGCAUUGCCCCUGGCCCCCCAAACAAAGCAUUCAUCCAGCUCAGUGCAGUGGGCCAGAGCUGUGACAGUGCAGCCUCAGUGGUGGGAUCAGCAGAAGUGCCCCCACCUUGCCAGACAGGGACAUACACACUUAUACACAGGGAAUUAACGGGGACUCACGUCACCCUCAGGCUCUGUACACCCAUAUAGAACUGCUCCCCAUCUCCCCUGGCAUUCCCCGUUAAAGCCCCACUUCCCUUGACAACCACAGCCCCAUGCUUUUGGGAGGCAGAUGAUGCUCCAACCCCUGCUAUGGCUACCCUGGGGCUUGGGCAAUUGACUCUGCUCAGGAUCAGCCCCUCUGGCCUUUUUUGAAUUUGGAAAAGAUGUAGAGAGCUGUGCUGUACAGAGAAAUGGUGGAUCCUGCUUCAAACAUCACACGUGUGGCUGUGGUGACCCCAGCACACCCUCAGGGAGUCGCCCAGCUUGGAGGUGACAAAGGGAACCCAAAGGAGAUGAGCCAGGGAUGCAGCUAAAUGGGGACCCAAAGAGCUGCGUUCACUGCCGGUGGGUCCCUGCCCUCCCCUCCAGCAUCAUCUCUCCAACUGCAUGGGUAUGCUGGGAGAGAUUUGUAGGCACAUGUAUUUGUUGUACAUCUUUCUUGUCUCCCCACUUUGCCCUUCCCACCGCCCCAUUCCCAUGACGCAGGACAGCCGCAUGCCAAAGGACCACCCUUCUCUCUGCCUCGCCUCUGCUCGCUGUAUUUCUCCAUUUGCUCUUUUGUUAUUCAUGGGGGAAAAAAGGAAGCUGAUAGACCCACAGGACUGACAAUCCCGUGGCCCUGGCAAUGUCCUUAGAACCUGGAAGGCUCUGCCCUGCAGGCUCUGCUCAUCCCGCAGCCCCUUUCCCUUUGCCCCCAUCCCUGCAGUGCCGGUUGCUCAGCAGCAGACAGUCCUCUGUCGGUGGUAGAGGCGAACAAGGAGACUUCCCUUGAUCCUUCCCUGCCAUGCCCAUCCCAUCACGCUGCUCACGUCUGCUGUGGCAGGUGGCAGGUCUCGCCGAUGGCGAUGACCACGUCCUGGGGCUGGCGGUCGUGGUGGCGCGGCACCUCGGGCAUCUCACUCAUCUCAUUGACGCUGCUGGUGAUGCAGUUGACGUCGCUUUUGUUGCUGUUGUCAUCUGGGUUGGGGCCGAAGAUCCAAUCUGGGAGUGAAGGAGGAAAAAAUACGGUUAUCUCUGGUUGUUCCCAGAUCCAAAACCCAGGUGGGAAAUUCUCCAUUCCCAUCCUCCAUUGAAUCUUGAGCUCUGAGUAUGAGGUCCCAGGAGUGUCCCCUGCCCUCUCUAUCCCUGUCCCCAUCCCUGUCCCAUCCCCACCACUCCAUCCCAUCACCACAGUGCUGUGGCACAGCCUGUGCUUUUCGCUCUUCUUUUUCCCAUUUCUCAGGUUGCUGCUUCCUGGAGGCCCUCCUGGCUCAGGCAAAUGAAAUCAUGCUGCUAAUCCUGAAAAUGAAAAUUAAGUGUCUCCGAAGCGAGUCGUGCAUCUGGGCUCUCCAGCAAGCAGUGUGUUCUGUGCCAUGGCUUUUUGCUGUCAGGAAUGGAGAGGAUGAUUAAGUAACCGUGUGACAUCCCAAUGCAUCUGCUGCUGGAAUAAGGAAAAAUGUCCUGAGCUGGUGGCUGGGCAUACUUCCUCUAUGAGAAUGCACUGCAGCCAUGUGGAGCUUGGGACCCUCAUUUGGGCUGCUCUGAGGAGUUGGGAAUGAGAAAUGAGAAAAGCAAUGAGAAAAAAAUGAGAUAGAGAAAUCCAGGUGAGAGGAGAGUUGUUCCUGGGGUUGGAGGCAAUGGAAACCUCUUCAGCUAGCACAGGAACCCUCUCUGGGGUGGGUUUUGGUCUGCAGUGCCUGACCUGACCAAGUGGGGGUGAAAGGGGAUCAACAUGUCACUGCCAUUCAGGGAAAAAUUGAAAAGUCUACUGGAAGAUAUCAAUUUGAUGCAGUUAUCAUAGAAUCAAAAAGUCACAGAAUAUCCCAAACUGGAAGGGACACAUUCGGAUCAAGAGUCCAAUUUGCCUGUUGCAAUGCAAUUAUUUAACUUUUCUCUCCAGGCUGAACCAGAUGGCCAUGUCACCCCGAGGGUCAUGGUGCCCAUGGGCACCCAGGCUGGUUGGUACUCCUCAUGCAGCAUCUUGCUGUGACGCGGAAUCAGAAGGCAAUAAAGAGAUCACCCCUACAAAUACUGUUAAAGCCCUCAGCUGGCUUUUUCCUUGACGUCAGCACUAAAACUCCCAUGGGAGAUGGUCUGGUUGGGAAAAGGGGGAAUAACCUGGAGGAUGCAGAAAGAUGGGCGAUGGGACUUCAUAUAUCAACUUAGGAGUUGGACUCGAUGAUCCUUAUGGGUCCAUUUCAACUUGGGAUAUUCUAUGAUUCUUCGAUUCCACAUCCCAGGAGUGGUUGGAUGAGAGCUGCAGUGUGCAGAGGGCACAAAGAAUGGGAAGAUGAGACAACAUGUUUGAGCAAGGGGAGGUGGCAAUUGGUGGCCAGAUGGAGAGCCCUUUGGGAUGCGUUCUUGGAGAAGCAAGAGCAUGACAUGGCAAGGCAGCGGUAAAGGAAGAAGUGCAGAAGUUAAUCAUUGGGGAGAGCACUGGAGAGCUCAGCAAAAGCCAUUUCCUUGAGAAAAUGUCACAUCUAGGAGGAUAUUGCCUGGUUUUCAGGGUUGGCUGCUGGCUGCUUCUCGAGUGCGUGCGGACUGGAUUGUGCGCGCUAAUCCCAACCACUGUUUCCCUGGGAAUUAUUGCUGGAGCCUGCUGGAUCUAAUUACCUGGUAAUCUACAGGAAGAUGUAAUUAGGUUGUCAUUAGAGGGUAUUUACUGCGAUGCCUUUAUGAUUUGACUGUGUUAGUAAGGAGUGAAGUAAUUACGCAAUUACACGUUAUUUGUGGCCAUUUAUGGCCUGUAA
Molecule: RNA transcript, 7947 nt
Organism: Centrocercus urophasianus (Greater sage-grouse)
Lineage: Eukaryota; Metazoa; Chordata; Aves; Galliformes; Phasianidae
Gene: LURAP1
Gene name: leucine rich adaptor protein 1
Exons: 3
Source: RefSeq, a predicted model, not a curated record